RNAcentral lists this ribosomal RNA (459 nucleotides) under uncultured bacterium. RNAcentral describes it as "partial 16S ribosomal RNA". It matches the Rfam family "Bacterial small subunit ribosomal RNA", at positions 338 to 795 of the family's 1533-position model. The record is from RNAcentral.
CCUACGGGUGGCAGCAGUGAGGAAUAUUGGUCAAUGGGCGUAAGCCUGAACCAGCCAAGUCGCGUGAGGGAUGAAGGUUCUAUGGAUCGUAAACCUCUUUUAUAAGGGAAUAAAGUGUGGGACGUGUCCUAUUUUGUAUGUACCUGAAGAAAAAGCAUCGGCUAACUCCGUGCCAGCAGCCGCGGUAAUACGGAGGAUGCGAGCGUUAUCCGGAUUUAUUGGGUUUAAAGGGUGGGAAGGCGGAAUAUCAAGUCAGCGGUAAAAAUUCGGGGCUAAACCCCGUCGUGCCGUUGAAACUGUUGUUCUUGAGUGGGCGAGAGGUAUGCGGAAUGCGAGGUGUAGCGGUGAAAUGCAUAGAUAUCACGAAGAACUCCGAUUGCGAAGGCAGCAUACCGGCGCCCAACUGACGCUGAAGCACGAAAGCGUGGGUAUCGAACAGGAUUAGAUACCCCUGUAGUC